CAGCCGCCGCGGUAAUACAGAGGGUGCGAGCGUUAAUCGGAUUUACUGGGCGUAAAGCGUGCGUAGGCGGAUUGUUAAGACAGAUGUGAAAUCCCCGGGCUCAACCUGGGAACUGCAUUUGUGACUGGCAGGCUAGAGUAUGGCAGAGGGGGGUGGAAUUCCGCGUGUAGCAGUGAAAUGCGUAGAUAUGCGGAGGAACACCGAUGGCGAAGGCAGCCCCCUGGGCCAAUACUGACGCUCAUGCACGAAAGCGUGGGGAGCAAACAGGAUUAGAUACCCCCGUAGUCCCUGUCUCUUAUAC
RNAcentral lists this ribosomal RNA (301 nucleotides) under uncultured bacterium. Its description in RNAcentral is "partial 16S ribosomal RNA". It matches the Rfam family "Bacterial small subunit ribosomal RNA", at positions 509 to 807 of the family's 1533-position model. The record is from RNAcentral.